Molecule: transfer RNA, 64 nt
Filed under: Scaeurgus unicirrhus
Lineage: Eukaryota; Metazoa; Mollusca; Cephalopoda; Octopoda; Octopodidae
Description: tRNA-Phe
Source: RNAcentral
AUUUAAAUAGCUUAAUUAGAGUGUAACGUUGAAGGUGUUAAGGUGAUAUUAUUAUCUUUAAGUU